UACGUAGGGGGCAAGCGUUGUCCGGAUUUAUUGGGCGUAAAGAGCGUGUAGGCGGCCGCACAGGUCCGUUGUGAAAACUGGAGGCUUAACCUUCAGACGUCGAUGGAAACCGUGCGGCUAGAGUCCGGAAGAGGAGAGUGGAAUUCCUGGUGUAGCGGUGAAAUGCGCAGAUAUCAGGAAGAACACCCGUGGCGAAGGCGGCUCUCUGGGACGGUACUGACGCUGAGACGCGAAAGCGUGGGGAGCGAAUAGG
RNAcentral lists this ribosomal RNA (253 nucleotides) under uncultured bacterium. RNAcentral describes it as "partial 16S ribosomal RNA". It matches the Rfam family "Bacterial small subunit ribosomal RNA", at positions 524 to 776 of the family's 1533-position model. The record is from RNAcentral.